GGGCGAGUAGCUCAGUCGGUAGAGCAACUGGCUUUUAACCAGUAGGUCCCCGGUUCGAGCCCGGGCUCGCUCACCA
Molecule: transfer RNA, 76 nt
Filed under: Planctomycetota bacterium
Lineage: Bacteria; Pseudomonadati; Planctomycetota
Also listed under: 1 other name
Description: Planctomycetes bacterium (bioreactor metagenome) tRNA-Lys
Rfam family: tRNA
About the family: Transfer RNA (tRNA) molecules are approximately 80 nucleotides in length.
Source: RNAcentral